AGUGAACGCUGGCGGUAGGCCUAACACAUGCAAGUCGAACGGCAGCACAGUAAGAGCUUGCUCUUACGGGUGGCGAGUGGCGGACGGGUGAGGAAUACAUCGGAAUCUACUUUUUCGUGGGGGAUAACGUAGGGAAACUUACGCUAAUACCGCAUACGACCUACGGGUGAAAGCAGGGGAUCUUCGGACCUUGCGCGAUUGUAUGAGCCGAUGUCGGAUUAGCUAGUUGGCGGGGUAAAGGCCCACCAAGGCGACGAUCCGUAGCUGGUCUGAGAGGAUGAUCAGCCACACUGGAACUGAGACACGGUCCAGACUCCUACGGGAGGCAGCAGUGGGGAAUAUUGGACAAUGGGCGCAAGCCUGAUCCAGCCAUACCGCGUAGGUGAAGAAGGCCUUCGGGUUGUAAAGCCCUUUUGUUGGGAAAGAAAAGCAGCAGGUUAAUACCCCGCUGUUCUGACGGUACCCAAAGAAUAAGCACCGGCUAACUUCGUG
RNAcentral lists this ribosomal RNA (492 nucleotides) under uncultured bacterium. Its description in RNAcentral is "partial 16S ribosomal RNA". It matches the Rfam family "Bacterial small subunit ribosomal RNA", at positions 29 to 507 of the family's 1533-position model. The record is from RNAcentral.